This 6277-nucleotide long non-coding RNA is filed under the name Sus scrofa (pig). RNAcentral describes it as "lncRNA (ENSSSCG00000058286.1)". Lineage: Eukaryota; Metazoa; Chordata; Mammalia; Artiodactyla; Suidae. The record is from RNAcentral.
AGCCUACGUCAUCUGUCUGUGCCAGGCAGGCUGUCCUCUGCCCAAACCAGAGCUGAUCUACCCAUUGGAGCCCAGCUCGAGUUACAGGUGUUGAGCAGAGGCCUCUCCCCAGGCUCCUGCCCCGGUGACAACACAAAGCCUGAGCCCAGGGAGCCUCUCCCUUCUCUCCUGGACUCAGCUGAGACUCACUCCGGGAACAGCCGACUCAGCGAGCCUCAGGGACUGUCCAGUUGGGACCAAUCAAGGGUGGAAAUGGGCUCUUGGAAGUACAGGAGGGCCACUUGAGGCCAGGGAUAGGCUUCCAGAGAGAGAAGCUCCCUAGGAAAGUGAGCCCUGGACAUGGUGGUUUAGGGACAGCUGAGGGUCUCCAUGCAAGGCUUGUGCAGGAGCAAGUCUUUCCAGGAGCUACUCUUCAUGGUGACCCACACCGACCAUGGAGCAGACCCUUGAUACGUGAAGGGGAACAUCUAUAAGCGAGAGGAACACGGGAAAGCCUUUAGCAAGAGUUGCCUCCUUAAUCGACAUGAGCGGAUUCACUCGGGGGUGAAGCCCUAUGAAGGCACGGAGUGUGGGAAAACGUUUAUUAAGAGCACAUACCUGCUCCAGCACCACACGAUCCACACUGGGGAGAGGCCCUACGAGUGCAUGGAGUGCGGGAAGGCCUUCAACUGCAAGUCCUACCUCACAGCACCAGCGGAUCCACAGUAGAGAGAAGCCGUACAGGUGAAGUGAGUGCGGAAAGGCCUUCACCCACUGCUCCAGUUUUGUCUUACAUAAGAGGAGACACACCGGGGAAAGACCCUUUGUGUGCAAGAACUGUGGGAACGCCUUUCGAGAUAAGACAGGUUUCCUUCGAUACUACAUCAUCCACACGGGAGAGAAGUUCUUUGUGUGGCGUGUGGGAAAGCUUUCAACCGUAGGUCACAUCUCACCUGGCACCAGCAGAUUCAUAGCGGAGCAAGACCCUUUGAAUGCAUCGAAUAUGGGAAAGCCUUUUGGGACAGCCCAGACCUCAUUCAGCACUAUGUCAUCCACACGGGAGAGAAGCCAUACACAUGCCUCGAGGUCACACCUCAGACAGCACCAGCGGAGUCACACUGGGGAGAAGCCCUAUGUAUGCAGUAAAUGUGGAAAGGCCGUAUUUCCCGUCGUGGCGCAGUGGUUAACGAAUCUGACUAGGAACCAUGAGGUUGCGGGUUCGGUCCCUGCCCUUGCUCAGUGGGUUAACGAUCCGGCGUUGCCGUGAGCUGUGGUGUAGGUUGCAGAUGCGGCUCGGAUCCCGCAUUGCUGUGGCUCUGGUGUAGGCCGGUGGCUACAGCUCCGAUUCAACCCCUAGCCUGGGAACCUCCAUAUGCCUCGGGAGCGGCCCAAGAAAUAGCAACAACAACAACAACAAAAGACAAAAGACAAAAAAAAAGGGUGGAAAGGCCUUUACUCACUGCUCCAUCUUCAUCUUGCAUAAAAGGGCCCACACUGGAGAGAAGCCCUAUGAAUGCAGAGCAUGUGGGAGAGCCUUUAGCAAUAGGUCAGACCUCAUUUGACUCUGGAGCAUCCACACUGAAGAGAAGCCUUGUGAGUGCAUGGAGUGUGGGAAGGCCUUUAAUCGCAGGGCGUACCUCACCAGACACCAGCGGAUUCACAGUGGAGAAAAGCCCUAUGAAUGUGUAGAGUGUGGCAAUGCCUUUUGCCAAAGGGCAAACUUCAUUUGACACACCAUCAUCGACACUGGAGAGAAGCCCUAUGUGUGCACUGAAGGUGGAAAGGCCUUCACCUACUGUUAUACUUUUAUCUCGCAUAAGAAGGUCCGCUUUGGAGAGAAACCUUUUGAAGGCAGAGAAUGCGAGAAAGCCUUUAGCACUCGGAAAGGUCUCAUUCGGCACUUCAGCAUCCACACUGGGGAGAAGCCCUAUGAGUGCACCGAGUGUGGGAAGGCCUUUAACCGCAGGUCGGGCCUGACAAGGCACCAGCGGAUUCACAGUGGCGAGAAGCCCUACGAAUGCCUCGAGUGUGGGAAAACCUUCUGCUGGAGCACAAACCUUAUUCGACACGCCAUCAUCCACACGGGAGAGAAGCCUUACAAGUGCAGUGAGUGUGGAAAGGCCUUCAGUCGCAGCUCCUCCCUCACUCAGCAUCAAAGGGUUCAUUCUGGGCGAAACCCUGUCACCGUGAAAAAUGUGGGAAGACCCUUCACAUUUGGUUAGUCCCUGGUCAGCCUCUAGGAAUUCCUUUUGGAGAAAGACUUUUGAAUGUAACCACUGGGUAAAAUCUUUUGCUAGAGGAAACGUCUUACUCAGAAUCUGAUCAUUCAUACCAAAGAGAAACCCCACAGUUUUCUUCUCUGGGAGAAAACUUGUUGCAGGUUGUCAGUUGUCAUCUAAAGAGUUAUGUUUGAAAUGGGCCUAGAAACUUACUCUGUAUCUGAAAGUUCACCCAGGAGAGUGGUUCAGUCCUUAUUGUGCACUUACCAAAACCUUUAGCCACAUCUUUCCCCUUAGUUUACACUGCAAAAUUAUCUCAGGGAUAUAUAAACAAAAGAGAGGAGACAUCGAAAAGAAAUGAGAGUGAAAUGCAAGUGCAGCUUCUUUCGUGGUUCUCUGAUGAGCCUAUGCCAAUUUGUCAUCCCUUUCUUAGUUUAUUUGGGGUAAGGGCGGUGUUGUUGCAGAGAUCAGGGGCCUCGUUUCUUUUAUUUGUGUCAUAUAUACAGGCACUGCUCUCCAGUUUCAGAAUAGUUGAGGGUACAUGUGAAGACAUUGCCUGAAGACUGUCUCUCUUCUCCAACACUGUCUCUACCCUUGAGUAGUACAUGUCUUUAUGAGAAAUAUGAAGGUUUUAAUUAUGCUUUCUUUUCUUUUUUUUUUUUCAGGACCGUACCCAAGGCAUAUGGAGAUUUCCAUGCUAGGAGUCUAAUCAGAGCUAUAGCCACCGGCCUAUGCUACAGCCAUAGCAAUGCCAGAUCCAAGCCACAUCUGUGAUCUACACCACAGCUCACGGCAAUUCCAGAUCCUUAACCCACUGAGCAAAGCCAGGGAUCACACCUGCAUCUUCAUGGAAGUUAGUCAAGUUCGUUAACCACUGAGCCAUGCCGGGAACUCCAGUUAUGCUUUCUUACUUAAGAAGAUGAAGAUGUACGUAUGAAUUGGCCCAUUGUACUACAUUUUUAAGACUUAUUUAUUUAUUUAUUUUGCUUUUUUUAGGGCCGAAGGUGCGGCAUAUGAAACUUCCCAGGCUAGGGGUCGGAUCAGAGCUUCAGCUGCUGGCCUACACCACAGCCACAGCAACAAGGGUUCCAAGCCAUGUCUGCGAUCCACGCCACAGCUCACAGCAAUGCUGAAUCUCAAACCCCCUGAGCAAGGCCAGGGAUCAAACCCGCAUCUUCGUGAAUACUAGUUGGAUUCAUUUCUGCUAUGCCACAAUGGGAACUCCCUAUGUGUUUUAUUUUGUUCUGGCUCUACUUCGACCCCUAGAAAAUCCACCGAGGUGGACCUGAAGAAGGCUCUCUAUGGAGGAAUCUGGGAAACCGCAGUCAGAGGGAAGAACAGGGAUUCAUCUGGGAAGGUUGCACCACACAGAAAGUAAAGGAAAAAUAAACAAGUAGAUCAAGUAUGAGGGUUGGGUGGAAGUCUGAGACCCACACCACAGCCCACGGCCACGCCAGGUCCUUAACCCACUGAUCGAACCCACAACCUCAUGGUUCCUAGUUGGAUUCGUUCCUGCUGCACCACAACAGGAACUCCUGAUCUGUGUAUUUAAACUUCUGCUAAUGUUACACUCUCUUGAGUACUGUGGCUGUCAUUAAAUAAUUGGGUAAUUUCCCCUUUAUUCUUCUUAAAAAUUGAUUUAGCUUUCUAUAUCACUUUUUCCUUUGGUUUUCUGUGUGAAUUUUAUCAUGUGCUUAUCUCUACUUACAAAACAUCUUGUGGGAUUUCUAUAGAAUUACAUUAAUCUGUGGAUCAUUUUGGUGAGAUUUGGCAUCUUUAUGAUAUUGAGUCAUUCCGUGAACAUUGUAUUUCUCCAUUUAUUUAGACACUCUGAUUUAUUUCAUUAGUGUUUUGUAAUUCUCACCUUACAGAACCUGAACAUAUUUUGUUAGAUUUUUAUCCAGGCAACUUUUGGGGGGAGGGUCAUUACAUGGCAUAGGGUUAAAUUUCAGUUUGCACAUUAUCACAUUAUCAUUACUAUUACAGAGAAGACAGUUUUUAUAUGUCAACUUUGUAUCUUAUGACCAUUCUGGACUCAGUUAUUGGUUCUAGCAGGGCUUCUUUUUUUAUUGUGGGUUUUUUGGUCUGUUUGUAGAAUUUUCUUCAUAAACGAUAAUGUCAUCAGCACAUAGUGAAUAUCUUAUUUCUUCUUCAUAUGUGUCCCUUUUAUUUCCUUUUCCUUUCUUUACUGUACUAGCUAGAAUUUCCAGUGCAGUGUUGAAUAGAAAUGGUUAAAGAGGACACACACCUCUUGUUUUUAAUAUUAGGGAGAAAGCAUUAGUAUUGCUUCAUCAUUAAAUAAUAUAACUGUGGGGUUUUAUACAGAUUUUUUUUUUCUAGUUGAGAAGCUUUUCUUCCUCAUUUACUAAGAGCUUUAUGAACAGGUGUUGAAUUUUGUCACAUCUUUGCUCCUUCAAUUGAUGUGAUGAAAUAAUUUUUCUUCUGGAGCCUAUUGAUAUGAUGGAUUGUCUGACUGGUUUUGAAUGUAGAACCAGCCUUGCAUUUCUGCAGUAAAUCCCACUGGGUCAUGGAAUGUAUAUCAGCAUUCUUUUUAUUUUUUUUGUCUUUUGUCCUUUUAGAAAAAUGAAGCCUUAAAAAUGGUUUUUUGUUUUUGUCUUUUUAGGGCCACACAUAUGGAGGUUCCCAGGCUAAGGGUCAGAUUGGAGCUGUAGCCACCAGCCUACGCCACAACCACAGUGAUGCUGGAUCCAAGCUAUGCCUGUGACCUACACCACAGCUAAUGGCAACGCCGGAUCUUAACCCACUGAGCAAGGCCAGGGAUUGAACCGGCAACCUCAUGGUUCCUAGUCGGAUUCAUUUCCGCUGUGCCACGAUGGGAACUCCAGCGUUCUUUUUUUAAUAUUUUGUUGAGAAAUACUGCCAUGAGAGUUUAUAAUUGUUUCAUAGUAACCAUGAUCUGGAAUGAAUUCAAAUGACAUCCAUCGAUGAGAACCUUACAUAAAUAGUGAAACAAAGAUUAAAUGAGGAGUUCCUGUCGUGGCGCAGUGUGACUUAGCCAUGAGCUUGCAGGUCUGAUCCCUGGCGUAACUCAGUGGGUUAAGGAUCCAGUGUUGCUGUGAGCUGUAGUGUAGGUCACAGACGCGGCUCAGAUCCUCCGUUGCUGUGGCUUUGGUGUAGGCCAGCAUCUGUAGCUCUGAUUAGACCCCUAGCCUGGGAACCUCAUAUGCUGUGGGUGCGGCCCUAAAAAGCAAAAAAAAAAAAAAAAAAAAAAAAAAAGAUUAAAUGGAAGAAAACCAGGGCUUCAAGGUGCUGCUUUUGGAUUUCUCACUGUGCUGUAGCAGUUUAAGGACCCAGCAUUGCCACCCCUGUGGUGUAGGUCCCAGCAGCGGUCUGGAUUCGAUCCCUGGAACUUCCAUAUGCCACAGGUGUGACCGAAAAAGAAGGGGGAAAAAAGCACUGCCUUUGUGCAACAACAUGGGUGAAUUUGAUGGAAAAAACAUUCUUUGGCAGUGUACAUCAGACACAAAGUAGUCUGUGCCGUAGAAUUGUGUGGAUAAGUUCAUAACCAGGAAAACUUGAUACCUGCUCGUAAGGGACGUAAUAGUCACCUUUGUGCAGUGUCAACUGGGGAGAGACACAUACGUACCUGAGAACCUCGUGCAACUGCUGUCUUUGCACAGCUAAGGUCACCUGGGAAACAGAGGUAAGUAGUCGUCAAGCUUUACUGUUAAGAGUCUCACUGAAUUGCAUAUGUAUGAAAAAGAGCAAAGAAGUGCUAUGACUUAACAUUGAUUUAUCCCUCCCAUUAUAAAAUGGAAUGUCUUAGCAUGAUCUGUGUGGGCCUGCCAGACUGCAAAUUCUGUCUUCCACUUCAGAGGAUAUUCAGAUUUUCACUUUAAUUACUUUCUUACUUUCCUCAUAUUUUGAUGCCUUAACUGUAUAUCAUUAACAGUAGCUAUUCUUAUCUGAUUUUGAAAUAUAUGUGAAUAUAAUAAUGUUUCUUACAGAUGCUUUUUUGGUAUUAACUGAAUAUGUUAUCUUAUUUGUAAAGAUUUUUGAGGUGAACAUGUAUCUGAUUAUCAUUCUUAAUUUAUUAUAUGGACAUUAAAUGGUAUUCC